This is a non-coding RNA of Leifsonia xyli subsp. xyli str. CTCB07, 72 nucleotides long. The record is from Rfam. Lineage: Bacteria; Bacillati; Actinomycetota; Actinomycetes; Micrococcales; Microbacteriaceae.
UGGCUCUGCGGCGAUGGAUCUCGCCGGGGCGCUGACCGAACCGUGAUGGCCGCUGAUAGUUCCUGCGCUUCU